RNAcentral lists this transfer RNA (75 nucleotides) under Streptomyces griseus. RNAcentral describes it as "tRNA-Ala(tgc)". It matches the Rfam family "tRNA". Rfam says of the family: Transfer RNA (tRNA) molecules are approximately 80 nucleotides in length. Lineage: Bacteria; Bacillati; Actinomycetota; Actinomycetes; Kitasatosporales; Streptomycetaceae. The record is from RNAcentral. RNAcentral also lists the same sequence under 3 other names.
GGGGCCUUAGCUCAGUUGGUAGAGCGCUGCCUUUGCAAGGCAGAUGUCAGGAGUUCGAAUCUCCUAGGCUCCACC